This 492-nucleotide ribosomal RNA is filed under the name uncultured bacterium. Its description in RNAcentral is "partial 16S ribosomal RNA". It matches the Rfam family "Bacterial small subunit ribosomal RNA", at positions 30 to 507 of the family's 1533-position model. The record is from RNAcentral.
AUUGAACGCUGGCGGCAUGCUUUACACAUGCAUGUCGAACGGUAACAGGCCUUCGGGUGCUGACGAGUGGCGAACGGGUGAGUAAUGCAUCGGAACGUACCCAGAGGUGGGGGAUAACGCAGCGAAAGCUGUGCUAAUACCGCAUGUGAUCUGAGGAUGAAAGCGGGGGACCGAGCAGCAAUGUUUGGCCUCGCGCCUUUGGAGCGGCCGAUGUCGGAUUAGCUAGUUGGUGGGGUAAAGGCCUACCAAGGCGACGAUCCGUAGCUGGUCUGAGAGGACGACCAGCCACACUGGGACUGAGACACGGCCCAGACUCCUACGGGAGGCAGCAGUGGGGAAUUUUGGACAAUGGGCGCAAGCCUGAUCCAGCAAUGCCGCGUGCGGGAAGAAGGCCUUCGGGUUGUAAACCGCUUUUGGCAGGAACGAAACGGUGUCCGCUAAUACCGGGCGCUAAUGACGGUACCUGCAGAAUAAGCACCGGCUAACUACGUG